This 209-nucleotide ribosomal RNA is filed under the name Salmonella enterica subsp. enterica serovar Carrau. Its description in RNAcentral is "partial 23S ribosomal RNA". It matches the Rfam family "Bacterial large subunit ribosomal RNA", at positions 57 to 266 of the family's 2925-position model. Lineage: Bacteria; Pseudomonadati; Pseudomonadota; Gammaproteobacteria; Enterobacterales; Enterobacteriaceae. The record is from RNAcentral.
CGUGCUAAUCUGCGAUAAGCGCCGGUAAGGUGAUAUGAACCGUUAUAACCGGCGAUUUCCGAAUGGGGAAACCCAGUGUGACUCGUCACACUAUCAUUAACUGAAUCCAUAGGUUAAUGAGGCGAACCGGGGGAACUGAAACAUCUAAGUACCCCGAGGAAAAGAAAUCAACCGAGAUUCCCCCAGUAGCGGCGAGCGAACGGGGAGGA